RNAcentral lists this long non-coding RNA (2177 nucleotides) under Mytilus galloprovincialis (Mediterranean mussel). Lineage: Eukaryota; Metazoa; Mollusca; Bivalvia; Mytilida; Mytilidae. The record is from RNAcentral.
CGGUGAACAGGAAGUUGUUGAGUGAUGAAUCUGAAAACGCAUCAAGCGGUAUAGCUGACUAAUAUAAACCCUGGAACCAAAUUUCAGAAAUCCUAGUUCUAUAGUUCCUGAGAAAAAUGCGACAAAAAAUAUUCAUGGGACGGACGGACUGACGGAAGGAUGGAUGGAUGGACAGACAGGUAAAACAGUAUACCCCCCCACCCUUUUUUUAAAGCCGGGGUAUAAUAAAAUAAACAACAAAAUAAUUGAAUUUUUAAACUUUAUUAUUGUAUCUCAGUCAGAAUGAGCAAGGAAUAUACAGACCACAAUAUCAACACACUGAGAUCCACAUAUGAUUAUCUCCCCUUAGAAUGAGACAGAUUAUUGGUUAAAACAUAACAAGUUAAAAGGUCAUAGAUAUAGAGUAAUGUUACUGGUCCAUGCUUAUACAGAAAAUAAAAUUGGACAAUACAUACAGAAAUGCAAUGAGAAAUGAUAAUUAAAAUUGUACUACUUAUCUAAUAUUUGGGAUAAGCUGUGUGUUGCAAAUACUGAUUCAGGAAAAACAAAAUUCCAAGUUUAUAUGUUUUGAUUUUCGCUUGUGUGUCAAUAACUAACUUCAGUACUAAACUGCAGCUUGUAAAAAUUGACAGAUAUUUGUCAGGAUUCAAACUUACUAAUCAAAUUUCAUUCCUAUGAUUGCAUUAUUUUCAAUAUUAUAGUAAGCAGCAUAUGGAAACAAUUUAUCUACACAAAUACAUUUUCCACAUUUGCAAUGAAAAAGAAACUACUAUUGCACAAUUCAAAGUUACAUCGUUUCAAAACAGAAAUCUCUUAAAAACAAAUCAAAUUCAAGUUGAAUUUAUAUAAAAAGACCAUAAAAACAGCAUUACUUCAUUUUGUACUACACUUAUUUGUCUUUAUAUAUUUUUUUUUUACUUUAUGGAGGAAACCCCAAGUUUAGGGACUUUAAAUAAUAACUAAUAACUGGUAUCUGUCGUUUUCAUAAAUAUAUCCUUUGCUACUAAGCAAUGCAGAUUAUUCAAAUUCCAUUAUCAGCUUUACAAAUAGUUUUUUUGUGAUACUUUUACCAUUGAUCAAUCUUAUAAUUUCAAAUACCCUCCCUUUACCAAUGUCUAUCCUCUUAAAUAACAUACAGGAGUAUAAUGCAGUUUACAUUUGUAAAGUAGCUGACAAGUAAAAUAAUUGAAAAACUAAUUGUCAUAAGUGCAGAAAAAUUUUAAAUUUUAAUGCAAACAUAUAUUUGCUAUACAUUAAAAUAUGAAAGUCUUCAUAAACAACAUUACCGUUAUCUGAGAUAAAAAUUACAUACACAAUGGUACUUUCAUCAGAAAAUCAUUCAAAAUCAUACAUUAUGUACUAAUAUCUUACAAGACAAUUACUAAAGCACCAUGUACUCUGAAGGUUACAGUAUAUUUAUUCUUGAAUAUUAUAUCAUUGUGGAUACACUACAUUAAGUUCAAAAUUUUUAAUUCUUCAUUAACCUGCACAUAAAUGUCCCCUUCAAAUAAUGUUAGUGACAGCAUAAAACGGGCGAGUAUUGAAUACAUGUUUGCCUCAACACCUUUAAAGGGUUUUUCAUUUUUCCACAGAAGUCGAUCAUAUAUCAUGUUAACUUGGGGGAAAGAAUAUUAAACAGUGUAAUUUUCCCAAAAUAAUUGUUUGUGAGAAAUUCAAAUCAAAUCUAACCACAAUUCAAUAUUGAAAACGGCAUUUUAGAAAGGUAAUUAACAUGAAAUAGCAUUUAAAUCUUAGUUUUAAUUAUAUUGUACCAUUUGUUAUUAAACAAUCUUAAUUUACAAUUAAAAUUAAAUCAGCAUUCAACUUUAAUUGAAUUUAGUCACUAAGUGCAACACAGUCCAGGAAUAAAUGUACAGUUCCUAUCUCAAUCACAGAAAAGAAUGUAUUUGGCCUUAUAAUAAAUGAAAACAUAUAAGCCAGUUAUCAAAGAGCUAAAAGAUCUCUGAAGCUGGCAGACUUUGAAGCACCAUUUAUACAUUCAAGCUUGCUAUCAAUAAAACGUAUGAAUGACUUUGAAUCAAUGCAUGGAAAUGCUUAAAAUUCAAAUGCAAUAGAUGAUUUUGAAAUAUUUACAAAAUGAAAUGUUUAAUGAGUCAAAAAUAUGAAUAUAAGAGAAAUUCAAUAAAUAUAUUAUGCAAAUAUCACAUGAUUUUUUA